Tribolium castaneum (red flour beetle) is the source of this 2285-nucleotide RNA transcript. RefSeq lists it as uncharacterized. Lineage: Eukaryota; Metazoa; Arthropoda; Insecta; Coleoptera; Tenebrionidae. The transcript has 4 exons. The record is from RefSeq and is a predicted model, not a curated record.
GCAACUGUAUCAAGUUUGCAAUCUUUAGACGAGGAAGCUAGCAAUUCGACAUUGUAUUUUAACCCCAACUGUAUUUUACAACUAAUCCUGGAUUACAUUUGCACAGAAGCACAUUUAAAUGUGGACGGUAAUCAUUACGACAUGUGUAAUGGAGAUGGUGAUCUUUUGGGUAUAAAGGAUUACAAACCGAAUGCUAGUGGUUUGACUAUUUUUCAGAGAAGAGAGACUUAUUUUAUUGUGAUUCUUAAGAGAAAUGAGAGUGGGACCGCUAUUGAAGAAAUAACACCGCUUCUACAUCCUCAAAGUGCUGCUUAUCAAAAUCUAGUCAAAAAUAUGAAUAAGAAGUUGAACAAAAAGAGGAGUUCCUUGACAAAGAGACGCACCAGUAGCAGCAAGCACAGUAUAACAUCCCCCCAUAGCUCAAACCCGAGCACCAUAAACAACUCAAAAAGACGCUUCAGUGCAAAAAUUUAAAAAAUUUGUUUAUUAAUUAAAUUGACUACAAGACACAUUCACAAUUUGCUCUUAGUUUCAAAUUCUCUUUCCCAAUCCUUCAAUUCUGGCACUUUCAAAUUGGUUGAUUUUCCAUGUCUUCCAAACCCCUCAGCGAAUCUUUUAGCCCCCGCGAUUGACUCAGUCCGCACCACUUUAACUCCAUUCUCUUGCUCGUAUUUCAAAAGAUCUAAAUACGCUGAACUAAAAGCCGCAUUAUACGUUGAAUUCCGAUCAGUCAGCAGACACUCUUGAGGAAAUUUGACUAGAGAAUUUGCGAGUUGGAUUGCUUGACCCAGGGCUAGCACAAAGAUAUUUUUUUAAUUGAAAUAAACUUCUGAUCAAUUUAAAAUUAAGUUGGUAACAUGAACAGUCAAAGUCAAAUGUUAUCAAUAAUUCGGCGUUACCAACUUAAUUCAGAUUUAAAAUCAGAAAUUUAUUUAAAAGCAAGGUACCUGUGCCACAUGCCACAAUCCUAUUGGCUACCCCCCACUCAAACGCUUCUUUGGCACUGAGCGAACGCCCCGUGAGGAUUAAAUCUAGCGCUCUUGAUAACCCCACCAUCGCUUGAAGCCGCACUGUGCCCCCAUCGACUAAAGGGACCCCAAAGCGUCUACAAUACACCCCCAUAACUGCAGUGUCCUCCAUAACGCGCAAAUCGCACAUCAGAGCCAACUCCAAGCCGCCCGCGACAGCAUACCCACUUAUGGCAGCCACCAUUGGUUUUUUAAUAAAACGUAACGUGGGGCCCUGAACGAAAAAGAUGAAAAAAAUUGUCUACAAUUAAUGAAUGUGUUUACUAUUUGGCCUUCGGGAUUCAACGCAAUCUGAGUCUCGUCCACCUUUGACAGGGAUUUAAGAUCGUAACCGGCACAGAAGUUGCCCCCAGUCCCGUACAAAACAGCAGCUUUGAGUGUGUUAUCAUUUUCGAAGUCUUCAAUAGCCUCACGGAGCAGAUCCGCAGUGCUGGGGUCAAUGCAGUUGCGUUUUUCAGGUCGGUUUAGACCAAUGGUAACGAUUUCGCCAAUUUUUUCGGUUAAAACCGCUAGGUUCAGAAGUUAGGUUCUGAUCACUAAUUAUAAAUGGACUCACUUUUAGGGCUAUUGCUGUAAUGUCGUAUUACAACUGAUGGAAUUCUUGUUACCAUAGUUCUGUACUUUCACUGGUUUGGGGUACUUUAACUAUAAAAAACGAACGGCCUUGAAACCGGAUUACAUAACCUCAAUUUUAAGUUAACUCUUUUGGGGCUAUUGAGGUAAUGCCGCAUUAUAAUUGAUGGUAUCCUUGUUGCCAUCACUAAUCGAUUACUUGGAGCGUACUUUAGCCAAAAUUUAUCAACGGAGUUGAUACCGCAUUAGAUAACCUCAACCAUUUGAAAAAAAAAGCACAUUGACGAAAUAGUUUUUUAUUAAUAAAAAAACAUCAGAUUACAAAAAAUAACUUAUUUAUCUUCCUUAAGAACGUGUUUCUUUCGUUCUGGCUCAUAAGGCACCUCCCCAGGCUUCGAAUGAGCCCUCCUAUUAGCUUCCUUCCUCUUGCCCUUCUCUUUAAUUGUUCUUAGUUCAUUUUGCGCGUUAUAUAUAUGUUUGGGCACAUGUCUGUGUCGCGCUAUUCUUCGCACUUUAGGAUGUGUGGCGUAUUUUUCUUUAAGAGCUUCACUGUAGUUCAAAGCAGCCCUUUCUCUAGGUUUAAGCUACAAAAAUUUUAUUAGGGACUAAAAUUAAUUAUGAGUUGACAUACAGGUCCUAGCUUUUCAGACGCUCUUGCUUUCCAAAUUCUAAUGUUCAUUUCGU